Molecule: transfer RNA, 82 nt
Filed under: Chlamydiota bacterium
Lineage: Bacteria; Pseudomonadati; Chlamydiota
Description: Chlamydiae bacterium (mine drainage metagenome) tRNA-Leu
Rfam family: tRNA
About the family: Transfer RNA (tRNA) molecules are approximately 80 nucleotides in length. Their secondary structure includes four short double-helical elements and three loops (D, anti-codon, and T loops).
Source: RNAcentral
GCGGAAAUGGCGGAAUUGGUAUACGCGCUACUUUGAGGUGGUAGUGGGGUUUCCCGUGGGGGUUCAAGUCCCCCUUUCCGCA